RNAcentral lists this ribosomal RNA (462 nucleotides) under Triticum aestivum (bread wheat). Its description in RNAcentral is "partial small subunit ribosomal RNA". The record is from RNAcentral. Lineage: Eukaryota; Viridiplantae; Streptophyta; Magnoliopsida; Poales; Poaceae.
AUGGCGGAGGAACCGUUCGCCAAGCGUCAUCAUGGCGAGCCGUCGGACAAGAACAACAACCUCGUCGAUGUUCACGUCCCCGGUGAGAAGCGCGAGUACACGAGUACCCUCACAGGGGUUGAGCUCCACGGCAAGGAGACGCUGGAGAUCGUCUGCACCAGCAAACCAGACAAGGCUGACCAGGUGAUGAGCAGGCUCGGGAUGAAGGGCGGCGGCUUGUAUCAAAGCUUCAUCGGAGUUGAUGUGGAGCCCAAGCGCCUCAAAGACUUCCUGCUGGAGGAGAAAUUGUACACAUUUGUCGGUUUCAGCAUUGGAGGCGACAAGCGGAUGCUGAACAAGUCUGGUUUGGAGAUCAACCCCAACAACUUCAUUGACAUGCAGCGCAAGUGGAAAGAUCCAAAGACCAGCAAAUACUACGACUCCUUGGCCGAUGUUGCAGGCGGUGUAAUCUACCCAUUCUAA